AAGUAAAAGUCGUAACAAGUUUCGUAGUGAACCUGCGGAAGAUCAUUAAAAAAUUCUGCCAUUGUUUGGUGAACAAUAAUCAUCUACCUUUGUGAAUUUGUUGUUUGUAAUAAUUUUUAAAGAAAAAUUAUUUACUGUCUAUCCUGGAUAGUAAAAGUUGGAAGGAGUAAUCAGAAACUUUGUUUCAGGAAUAGUAUGUAAUAAUUUUCAUUUAAGACCUUUUUUUAAAUAAACUUUGUAUUCAUUUGUCUAAAAUUUAUUUUAAAUAAUUUAAAAACAACUUUUGACAAUGAUCUCUUGGUUUCGCAACGAUGAAAACGCAGCAAAUGCGAUAAGUAUGUGAAUUGCAGAAUACGUGAAUCAUCAAUCUCGAACGCAUAUUGCACUUUUUAGUUUACUAAAAAGUAUGUCUGUUUGAGUAUCAGUAAAUAUUCUCAAUAACUUUUGUUUAUUGGUUAUGAGUGUUUUACAACGAUACAUUGUUCACUUUAAAUUGACUUUAUAAACUAUCCAUUUAGGUCAAUUUUAAAAUUGGAUAAAUUUUCCUGUAAAAGGGAAUAAUUGACAGUUUUAAGAAGAUUAAAAGGUUUUCUUAAAAGGAAAUUUAUAAUAACUAACUUGAUCUCAAUCAGAUAAGAGUACCGCUGAACUUAAGCAUAUCAAUUAAGCGGAGGAAAGAAACUAACAGGAUUCCCUAGUAACGCGAGUGAAGCGGGAAGAGCUCAAAUUUGAAAUCUUCAAGGUUUCCUUGACGAAUUGUAGUUUAUAGAAGUGUUUCUGUUAGAGGUGGUAAAGUUCUUUGGAAUAGGACAUAUAGGGGUGAAUCCGUAUUUGAUCACUUUCACUAACGUUGUGAUCACUUUCAACGAGUCGAUGUUUGGGAAUGCAGUCCAAAUGGGUGUAAAUUCAUCUAAAGCUAAAUAUUGGGAAGACGAUAGCGACAAGUACCGGAGGAAAGAUGAAAGAACUUUGAAAAGAGAGUUAAACAGUACGUGAAAUUGUCAAAGGGAAGCGUUUGACACAGUGUUGUCUUCCGAAAUCAAUUACGAAUGGCGGAUUCUAAGUUCAUGACCUUAAAAGCUGUUUCUUCUUUUCCUGUCUUUCUUAAUGCACUUUCGGUUAACAAGUCAACAUCAAUUUCUUUGUUGUAAAAGGUUAAGAGGAAGGUGGCUUUACUUUCGGGUAAGUGUUAUAGCCUUUAACUCUGCAAUCGGAGAUUGAGGUUGCAGCGUAGAUCCUUCGGGCUAGAUACGUUUGUGCUAAGUUAUGGCUUUCAUAGACAACUUUUGACUAUGUUAGUCUUGUAGCUACUCGCAGAUGCUAUUUACUACGCUUAGAUGU
This 1341-nucleotide unclassified non-coding RNA is filed under the name uncultured Neocallimastigales. Its description in RNAcentral is "partial contains small subunit ribosomal RNA, internal transcribed spacer 1, 5.8S ribosomal RNA, internal transcribed spacer 2, and large subunit ribosomal RNA". The stretch from base 620 to 1341 matches the Rfam family "Eukaryotic large subunit ribosomal RNA", at positions 1 to 628 of the family's 3401-position model. Lineage: Eukaryota; Fungi; Neocallimastigomycota; Neocallimastigomycetes; Neocallimastigales. The record is from RNAcentral.